CAGAGUAGGGCCUGCUUCGUUAAGUGCCUCCGGAACGGGGAGUUGAACGGGGGACGAAGGCGAACGCCGCGGUUGCAGGCCCGCACCCGCUG
Molecule: non-coding RNA, 92 nt
Filed under: bovine gut metagenome
Description: THF riboswitch
Rfam family: THF (Tetrahydrofolate) riboswitch aptamer
About the family: THF riboswitch presents a pseudoknot that joins P1-P2 and the loop of P3 and two THF binding.
Source: RNAcentral